Pantherophis guttatus is the source of this 785-nucleotide long non-coding RNA. RefSeq lists it as uncharacterized. Lineage: Eukaryota; Metazoa; Chordata; Lepidosauria; Squamata; Colubridae. The record is from RefSeq and is a predicted model, not a curated record.
CCAGUUGAUUCCCAUCAUCCGUUUAUUUUCCUCUUCGUUUAAGAAGGAAGCCUUUGUGCCUGACUGCAAUUCUGAGGGAAAGGUAAACAGGUGAAUGCAAAAACUACAGGAGCAGCCAUUAGCUAAUUGUUCCUGGGAAGAUGCUUAACAAAAUACAAGAGAAUUCUGCAGCCACUGAAAUACCAAGGUCCGCAGAAGCCACCGAAAAACCAUGGAGACAGACUGAUUAGUGUGCCUGGCUGAGCAAAUUCUCUGUUUAGCACAAAACCAUUGCUAAGGAGACUAUAAUUUAAAGUCUGCUGAGUGUACAAAAAGGAAGCCAAACAGAGCACAUAUUUUCAAGCACACAGCAAGGCAGAUAACCCAUUUCAUAAUCUGUUUCAUCCUCUGUUUUUUCUUGUUUAUGUAAAAAGCGAAAUCCCAUUUUUCUCACCACUGAAUUGCAUUUUGUUGGAUAGGACCCAGUGAUCAAGUCUGUCAGGAUCCUUCUGAAACUUGAGCCUAUCUUCUAAAGUGUUGGUUAUCCACCACCACCCCAGCUGCAAAUUUGAUGAGUUCCCCUUCUAUCCCUUCAUCUAACUCAUUUAUGAAGAUAUUGAAGAGAAAGGGCCCAAGAUGGAAACUUGGGGUUCCCCACUGCAUGGUCCCUUCCAUGUAGAUGUAGUUCCAUUGAGGAUUAUACAUUGAGCGCAGUUGGUCAACCAGUUACGAAUCCAUCUGGUGAGGAUCCUGCCUAUUGUCAGGUUUCAGUGCUAUCUUGAAUAAACUUCAUUCUCAAGCGCAAG